UAGGGAAUCUUCCACAAUGGACGCAAGUCUGAUGGAGCAACACCGCGUGAGUGAAGAAGGUUUUCGGAUCGUAAAGCUCUGUUGUUGGUGAAGAAGGAUAGAGGUAGUAACUGGCCUUUAUUUGACGGUAAUCAACCAGAAAGUCACGGCUAACUACGUGCCAGCAGCCGCGGUAAUACGUAGGUGGCAAGCGUUGUCCGGAUUUAUUGGGCGUAAAGCGAGCGCAGGCGGAAGAAUAAGUCUGAUGUGAAAGCCCUCGGCUUAACCGAGGAACUGCAUCGGAAACUGUUUUUCUUGAGUGCAGAAGAGGAGAGUGGAACUCCAUGUGUAGCGGUGGAAUGCGUAGAUAUAUGGAAGAACACCAGUGGCGAAGGCGACUCUCUGGUCUGCAACUGACGCUGAGGCUCGAAAGCAUGGGUAGCGAACAGG
This 429-nucleotide ribosomal RNA is filed under the name bacterium. RNAcentral's name for it is "partial 16S ribosomal RNA". It matches the Rfam family "Bacterial small subunit ribosomal RNA", at positions 355 to 776 of the family's 1533-position model. The record is from RNAcentral.